Molecule: ribosomal RNA, 665 nt
Filed under: Kosakonia cowanii
Lineage: Bacteria; Pseudomonadati; Pseudomonadota; Gammaproteobacteria; Enterobacterales; Enterobacteriaceae
Description: bacterial SSU rRNA
Rfam family: Bacterial small subunit ribosomal RNA
Source: RNAcentral
GCCCUUGGAGGCGUGGCUUCCGGAGCUAACGCGUUAAGUCGACCGCCUGGGGAGUACGGCCGCAAGGUUAAAACUCAAAUGAAUUGACGGGGGCCCGCACAAGCGGUGGAGCAUGUGGUUUAAUUCGAUGCAACGCGAAGAACCUUACCUGGUCUUGACAUCCACAGAACUUGGCAGAGAUGCAUUGGUGCCUUCGGGAACUGUGAGACAGGUGCUGCAUGGCUGUCGUCAGCUCGUGUUGUGAAAUGUUGGGUUAAGUCCCGCAACGAGCGCAACCCUUAUCCUUUGUUGCCAGCGGUUAGGCCGGGAACUCAAAGGAGACUGCCAGUGAUAAACUGGAGGAAGGUGGGGAUGACGUCAAGUCAUCAUGGCCCUUACGACCAGGGCUACACACGUGCUACAAUGGCGCAUACAAAGAGAAGCAAUCUCGCGAGAGCUAGCGGACCUCAUAAAGUGCGUCGUAGUCCGGAUUGGAGUCUGCAACUCGACUCCAUGAAGUCGGAAUCGCUAGUAAUCGUGAAUCAGAAUGUCACGGUGAAUACGUUCCCGGGCCUUGUACACACCGCCCGUCACACCAUGGGAGUGGGUUGCAAAAGAAGUAGGUAGCUUAACCUUCGGGAGGGCGCUUACCACUUUGUGAUUCAUGACUGGGGUGAAGUCGUAAC